RNAcentral lists this ribosomal RNA (490 nucleotides) under uncultured bacterium. RNAcentral describes it as "partial 16S ribosomal RNA". It matches the Rfam family "Bacterial small subunit ribosomal RNA", at positions 30 to 507 of the family's 1533-position model. The record is from RNAcentral.
AUUGAACGCUGGCGGCAGGCCUAACACAUGCAAGUCGAACGGUAACAGGAAGCAGCUUGCUGCUUUGCUGACGAGUGGCGGACGGGUGAGUAAUGUCUGGGAAACUGCCCGAUGGAGGGGGAUAACUACUGGAAACGGUAGCUAAUACCGCAUAACGUCGCAAGACCAAAGAGGGGGACCUUAGGGCCUCUUGCCAUCGGAUGUGCCCAGAUGGGAUUAGCUAGUAGGUGGGGUAACGGCUCACCUAGGCGACGAUCCCUAGCUGGUCUGAGAGGAUGACCAGCCACACUGGAACUGAGACACGGUCCAGACUCCUACGGGAGGCAGCAGUGGGGAAUAUUGCACAAUGGGCGCAAGCCUGAUGCAGCCAUGCUGCGUGUAUGAAGAAGGCCUUCGGGUUGUAAAGUACUUUCAGCGGGGAGGAAGGGAGUAAAGUUAAUACCUUUGCUCAUUGACGUUACCCGCAGAAGAAGCACCGGCUAACUCCGUG